AUGGAAGGAGCUCGGGUCACACAAACUCCAAUGCCGCAAGACACGCCGACCUCCCCAAGGAGACCUCCGACGGCCACAGCCUCCUUCACAGGGGUCUCAGGCCAGAGCCCUCCCUCCCUGUUUCCACACACUCCCGUCGUCGCUGGCGGCCGUGCAGGCAAGGUGCUCGACGAAAUGCCUCCUGACACGCCAAGGCUCGUCGUCGCAAGCCUCGAGCUGCAGCGGCGGUCGUGGGCGGACGUCCCGCCGGACAUCCUCGGGAUCGUGGCCGGCCGCCUCCCCUGCGUUGAGGACCGCGCCAGGCUGCGCUCCGUCUGCGCCGCCUGGCGCGCGGCGGCGCGCCUCCGCCGCCCGCUGCCGCCGCCGCUCCCCCUGCUCGUCCACGCGGACUUCUCCUUCUCCAGCUUCUCCCCCGACGGUGUCACGACGGGGACGCGUCGCAUCCCCCUGCCCGAGGACGUGGCGGCCGACGAUGUCCGUUGCGUGGGCUCGUUCGAGGGGUGGCUCGCCGGCGUGCGGCCGAACCAAGGUCGCUACUUUGGCGAUGCCCAGUGCUUCUUGAUGAACCCUUUCUCCCGGGACGUGCUCCAUCUCCCGCCUCCCUCCGCGUCCUCUCAUUUCGUCGAUGCCCACAGUAGAUCCCUGCCCAUCAUCGGUGGCUCUGGUGUGGUUGAGUGCACCAUCAACGCCCCACAGUACGUGAUGUCGUUCUGCAAGGUAAUCUUGUCCUCCUCACCUGAUUCUGGGUCCAAAUGCAUUGUGGCUGCCUUCUCGGUGCAUCGGAACGGAGCCAAGCUUGCUCUCUGGCGGCCUGGCAUGACGUCGUGGUGCGUGUGCCUUGGUGGCUGCAUAAGCAAGUUCAGUGAUAUUACCUUCUACCAGGGCAAGAUUUACGUGCUCAGCGAGCUCACCACAAAUCUCUUUGUCAUCGAGAUAACAGAUGACGACGACUCUGGGCUGAUGGCUUCUCGUGUCGAGCGUUGUGUGGCCGAGAGGCCUGAGAUCAAGGGUAGCUACACACAGAGGUGGAACUUGGUAGAAUGGCAUGGAAAACUGUUGUUUAUCGCCAGACACUUAGGUGGCGGUGAAGGCUGGCACGAUAUUUGCAAGGUUGGAGUAUAUAUGGUGGAUUUAAGCACUAAACCUCUUCAAUUCACUGAGAUCAACACCUUGGAUGGCGACUGUAUCUUCAUCAGCCCGUGCAGCAGCAAAUCAUUUCAUGCGUCAGAGUAUGAAAGGGUGGAAGGCAAUGUUAUCUACUUCAUCGAUGGCUAUCUCUGCCAUGCUAAAAAUGGUCCCCUAUUUGAUAAGUUCAUGUACAACUUGAGCGAUGGUACAUUUGCGCCAUUUGCUGCAGAUUUAUCAGAGUGCAACUUUCAGGCACCAGAUGGCAAGCCCAUGAGUCAAACGUGGUUGUUUCCUUCUGAAUGA
RNAcentral lists this ribosomal RNA (1431 nucleotides) under Triticum aestivum (bread wheat). RNAcentral describes it as "partial small subunit ribosomal RNA". Lineage: Eukaryota; Viridiplantae; Streptophyta; Magnoliopsida; Poales; Poaceae. The record is from RNAcentral.